UACGGAGGGUGCAAGCGUUGUCCGGAUUUAUUGGGCGUAAAGAGCUCGUAGGCGGCUUGUCGCGUCGUUCGUGAAAACUUGGGGCUCAACUCCAAGCUUGCGGUCGAUACGGGCAGGCUAGAGUUCGGUAGGGGAGACUGGAAUUCCUGGUGUAGCGGUGAAAUGCGCAGAUAUCAGGAGGAACACCGGUGGCGAAGGCGGGUCUCUGGGCCGAUACUGACGCUGAGGAGCGAAAGCGUGGGGAGCGAACAGG
Molecule: ribosomal RNA, 253 nt
Filed under: uncultured bacterium
Lineage: Bacteria
Description: partial 16S ribosomal RNA
Rfam family: Bacterial small subunit ribosomal RNA
Source: RNAcentral